Molecule: long non-coding RNA, 1144 nt
Organism: Sinocyclocheilus anshuiensis
Lineage: Eukaryota; Metazoa; Chordata; Actinopteri; Cypriniformes; Cyprinidae
Exons: 3
Source: RefSeq, a predicted model, not a curated record
UCUGCUAAAAAAGGGGAACAAAUAAUACAGAAAAAAAACAUCAGCAGCAACAAAAAAUGCUAUACUUGAGAUGUUUAAACUAGACUUCAAAUCAGUAUUCUCCACACAGAAGACAGAAUAUUGAAACCUCUUUCUCUGCUCUCCCAUGUGUAUAGCGGCUGUGUGUGUCUGACGAAUCAGGUCUCGACUCACAUGAACGCUUCACUAUAUGAGUGCUAAUAAGAACUAUGUCAGGAGGGACACCUGCAGUUUCAGAAAGCGAGAGGAACUGCGACUGACAGCCCAGUGACUGACAGAGCCCCAAAUACAGACCCUCGUUGUGACUGAACAGUGCAGGAGCAUCCAUAAAUCGGGAAAACCUGAGUGAGCCCUGGUUGGGGGGUCACCAAGAAAGGUUCACUUCCCUUUGGUUGUGUGGUGCUGAACAGCAGGACAGGCCUGGUUUUUCUCACCCUGCCUUCCCAUCUGACAACAAAUAAACAGCCAGAGGUCUUUAAUGUGCCAUACAGAUGACACCUCCAAUCUCUUCCUUCACAAAGAGUUCAGGAAGCUUUGGGUGUCAAGACAAAUAUUAUGGCAGUGGAGUUUCAUUUGGCGUGUGUCUGAGGCUUGAGUCUUUCCUUCUAACUUGUGCGUGAGCUGAAGGAAGAGUGUGGAAGUGAAAAACACAAGAGGAACCAUCUGUCUGGUGAACAGUUCUACAUAUGGUCUGACAUUGGUCUGUGUGGAACUGGGACUUUAAUGAAGAGUCAUGACUAGAAAACAGUUAACAAUGCAUUAUCUGUCGCUCUGUUGUUCUCUCUGUCUGUAAGCCCUAUAAACUUUCAAACCUCAAGGACUUUUGUUUAUUUCAAAACUUUCAAACAAGACUUUGUCAAAGCCACCAUUCAAAGGUCGGAUGUAGUGUUCUAUGUCCUUCCAAUAAAAUUCAAAUUGCAAUUCUGGAUACGGUUUCAAAAAUAUACAAAUAAAGUCAUGAGAAAACUUUGUUAGUCUUUGUUAGUCACCAUAAAUGAGGAUUACUACUUGAGAGUGGUUUCUUUUUACUUGGGCCAGUAAGCAAUCACCUAGCAACCACCUAGUAUGCCCCAAUAACUGCCCUAGCAACCACUUAGUUUAUGCCACCAUCCACAACAACCUAGCA